This 501-nucleotide ribosomal RNA is filed under the name uncultured bacterium. RNAcentral describes it as "partial 16S ribosomal RNA". It matches the Rfam family "Bacterial small subunit ribosomal RNA", at positions 899 to 1397 of the family's 1533-position model. The record is from RNAcentral.
ACUCAAAUGAAUUGACGGGGACCCGCACAAGCGGUGGAGGAUGUGGUUUAAUUCGAAGCUACGCGCAGAACCUUACCAGCCUUUGACAUGCCUUCUAUGAGCCUGAGAGAUCAGGUUCUUCGGUUCGGCCGGGAAGAGCACAGGUGCUGCAUGGCUGUCGUCAGCUCGUGUCGUGAGAUGUUGGGUUAAGUCCCGCAACGAGCGCAACCCUUGCCGUUAGUUGCCAUCAGGUAAAGCUGGGCACUUUAACGGAACAGCCGGUGAAAGCCGGAGGAAGGUGGGGAUGACGUCAAGUCCUCAUGGCCCUUAUGGGCUGGGCUACACACGUCCUACAAUGGCAUUGACAGAGGGAAGCUACCUUGCAAGAGGAAGCGGAUCCCAAAAAGAUGUCUCAGUUCGGAUUGUCCUCUGAAACUCGAGGGCAUGAAGUCGGAAUCGCUAGUAAUCGUGGAUCAGCAUGCCACGGUGAAUACGUUCUCGGGUCUUGUACACACCGCCCGU